RNAcentral lists this ribosomal RNA (1390 nucleotides) under Klebsiella michiganensis. Its description in RNAcentral is "partial 23S ribosomal RNA". It matches the Rfam family "Bacterial large subunit ribosomal RNA", at positions 1551 to 2916 of the family's 2925-position model. Lineage: Bacteria; Pseudomonadati; Pseudomonadota; Gammaproteobacteria; Enterobacterales; Enterobacteriaceae. The record is from RNAcentral.
UAACGCUGAGGUGUGAUGACGAGGCACUACGGUGCUGAAGUGACAAAUGCCCUGCUUCCAGGAAAAGCCUCUAAGCAUCAGGUAACAUCAAAUCGUACCCCAAACCGACACAGGUGGUCAGGUAGAGAAUACCAAGGCGCUUGAGAGAACUCGGGUGAAGGAACUAGGCAAAAUGGUGCCGUAACUUCGGGAGAAGGCACGCUGAUGGUAGGUGAAGCGACUUGCUCGUGGAGCUGAAAUCAGUCGAAGAUACCAGCUGGCUGCAACUGUUUAUUAAAAACACAGCACUGUGCAAACACGAAAGUGGACGUAUACGGUGUGACGCCUGCCCGGUGCCGGAAGGUUAAUUGAUGGGGUUAUCCGUAAGGAGAAGCUCUUGAUCGAAGCCCCGGUAAACGGCGGCCGUAACUAUAACGGUCCUAAGGUAGCGAAAUUCCUUGUCGGGUAAGUUCCGACCUGCACGAAUGGCGUAAUGAUGGCCAGGCUGUCUCCACCCGAGACUCAGUGAAAUUGAACUCGCUGUGAAGAUGCAGUGUACCCGCGGCAAGACGGAAAGACCCCGUGAACCUUUACUAUAGCUUGACACUGAACACUGGUCCUUGAUGUGUAGGAUAGGUGGGAGGCUUUGAAGUGUGGACGCCAGUCUGCAUGGAGCCAUCCUUGAAAUACCACCCUUUAAUGGCUGGUGUUCUAACGUGGGCCCCUGAUCGGGGUUGCGGACAGUGUCUGGUGGGUAGUUUGACUGGGGCGGUCUCCUCCUAAAGAGUAACGGAGGAGCACGAAGGUCAGCUAAUCCUGGUCGGACAUCAGGAGGUUAGUGCAAUGGCAUAAGCUGGCUUGACUGCGAGCGUGACGGCGCGAGCAGGUGCGAAAGCAGGUCAUAGUGAUCCGGUGGUUCUGAAUGGAAGGGCCAUCGCUCAACGGAUAAAAGGUACUCCGGGGAUAACAGGCUGAUACCGCCCAAGAGUUCAUAUCGACGGCGGUGUUUGGCACCUCGAUGUCGGCUCAUCACAUCCUGGGGCUGAAGUAGGUCCCAAGGGUAUGGCUGUUCGCCAUUUAAAGUGGUACGCGAGCUGGGUUUAGAACGUCGUGAGACAGUUCGGUCCCUAUCUGCCGUGGGCGCUGGAGAAUUGAGGGGGGCUGCUCCUAGUACGAGAGGACCGGAGUGGACGCAUCACUGGUGUUCGGGUUGUCAUGCCAAUGGCAUUGCCCGGUAGCUAAAUGCGGAAGAGAUAAGUGCUGAAAGCAUCUAAGCACGAAACUUGCCCCGAGAUGAGUUCUCCCUGACCCUUUAAGGGUCCUGAAGGAACGUUGAAGACGACGACGUUGAUAGGCCGGGUGUGUAAGCGCAGCGAUGCGUUGAGCUAACCGGUACUAAUGAACCGUGAGG